This 230-nucleotide ribosomal RNA is filed under the name uncultured bacterium. RNAcentral's name for it is "partial 16S ribosomal RNA". It matches the Rfam family "Bacterial small subunit ribosomal RNA", at positions 562 to 791 of the family's 1533-position model. The record is from RNAcentral.
AAAGCGUGCGCAGGCGGUUAUGUAAGACAGAUGUGAAAUCCCCGGGCUCAACCUGGGAACUGCAUUUGUGACUGCAUGGCUAGAGUACGGUAGAGGGGGAUGGAAUUCCGCGUGUAGCAGUGAAAUGCGUAGAUAUGUGGAGGAACACCGAUGGCGAAGGCAGCCCCCUGGGUCAAGAUUGACGCUCAUGCACGAAAGCGUGGGGAGCAAACAGGAUUAGAUACCCUAGU